UUCAAGUGAAGAGUUUGAUCCUGGCUCAGAUUGAACGCUGGCGGCGUGCUUAACACAUGCAAGUCGAGCGGCAGCGCGGGAGCAAUCCUGGCGGCGAGCGGCGAACGGGUGA
RNAcentral lists this ribosomal RNA (112 nucleotides) under Nevskiaceae bacterium. Its description in RNAcentral is "partial 16S ribosomal RNA". It matches the Rfam family "Bacterial small subunit ribosomal RNA", at positions 1 to 109 of the family's 1533-position model. Lineage: Bacteria; Pseudomonadati; Pseudomonadota; Gammaproteobacteria; Nevskiales; Nevskiaceae. The record is from RNAcentral.